AGUGACAGGUCAUGAAAGAUAAAGCUACAGACCCACUGGAGAUGUGGGCCAGCCGAAGUUUCAACCAGAUGUCACCAGAGUGGCCAGUCUCCCCCAGGCAAAGCAAAGCAAAGCGAUAGCUCCUGGACAACUCCUUUCGUGGUGGACUUCCUGAGGCCCUCUGCGCCGGCUCCUGGCUCUACAGAGCUUGUUCCUGGGGACCAGUUACUCCAGGCUUUGGAUCUCCCCACCUCAAUAGUUCGCAGGGAAGUUCUCCAUCAUUCCACUGGGGCCAGGCCUUGGGUUCCACUCCAGAAGCCCCGAAGCACCCUUCCUCCUGUCCAGAGUCCUCUCUCCUACCUACUUGGGCUUAGGCUCAGCCCACCUGUGGGCUGGGAGGGGAUGGAAGAGACAGGUGGGCCCCUAGAUGCACUGGCUGGAUUGCAGACAUAUUUAUGCUCCAUUUCUAGUGUCUGGUCCUUCCUGUGGUCCCACUGAUGGGGGAACAGAAAGGAAACAGGAGGGGGCUGGGGUGACAGGCACAGCCCACUAGGCUGCCCUCCUCUGCCUCACCCUCCCUCGCCUGGGCCCCAGCUGAGCCCAUCAUCAGAGGCCUCCAGGAGCUGGGGCCACAGUCUGCGUGGGUCUGCCCCUCCCCUCACCCCAGCCUAGAAGACUCCACCUCUCCCAGGUCCUGGCUGGGAUCCGAAGGCCCCGGGCAAGUGGGGGAAGGGGAGCCACUCCUACUUUCCCAGCAGCUGCUGCUGCCUCUUCCUGUUUUGCUAAAACUUUGGCUCCGGACCCAAGGGGGUGGGGGAAAGUCGCCAGGCGCUCUCGCCCCCCCCCCAAAGGUCAAACUCAUCCCCCUGGUCCUCUUAGCUAGUUAUUUAUAGCUCCCCAGGCCCUGGCUGAGGAGCUACAUCUCUCCUCCCCCAAAUGUCAGCAGCUGUGGCCAUUGCCCCAGGGAUGCAGCCAGAUGUGCUGAUCACUCCAGAUGCGCAGUGCCAGGAUUUGGGAGCGCAGGCCAGGCCCUUUCUCCUGGACAUUCCCUGCUGCCUGGUUCAUCCUCCACUCUGAGUCAACAAACCUGAGUCCUGGGGGAUGGGGGGACAUCAGGAAGUUCCCACCUAUUUUCUCCACUCCCAUUGCCUGAUCCCAAGACGGGACAGCUCGGGCUAUAGACCCACGUGGAUGUCUUUGCAUAAAUUAGGACAGGACUCAUUUGGAGACUGGAUUUGUAGAAGUCAGCUGCAGUUCAGAGGGACAGAAGGGUCAGGAUGCUGGAUGCUGUCUUCUUACUAACGUCAGCACGGAGAUCCACUCCUGAGAGUCCAGCGUCCAAAGGGCAGGCUCUGCGAUUCUUUUCUUUGGCUACAUCCUGCUCUCCAGGAGAUGAUGAAUUCCCCAGGGAGAGGACUGCAGCUUCCUUUGCCUCUGUGCCAGGAAGUUGCUCAACAAAUAAGAGAUUAUACGUAAUGAAAAAGAGUUGAAGUCAGUGGUGGUCACGUGUGGGUGGAUCCUUCAAGGUUGUAGCAAGGGGAGAAGUCCAAACCCAUCCUAAAAGACACUCCUGGCAAAGAGAGUGUCAGGACCUCCUCAAACGCUUGCCUAGAGAUUCCAAGGCCUGAGAAGGUCCUGCUGCGGCCUGUUGCAAGGCUGAACUCCCGAGCCCACCAGUGGGUGGACCACAGCAUCCCUGCAGGGGCCACUGGAGCACAUAAUUGUGAGCUGGCUGCAGAAAGGCAUUUUGCAACUCAGACGAAUUUCUUCUCGCUCACGAUUAGGGUAUGGCCCAGUGGCUGCCUCCCUGACUGUAAUCUCUGCUGGCACAGGCAUCUCCGGGGCUGGGCAGUGGGGGCUGUGGAAGGAGGGCUGACCUAGAAGCCUGGACGCCGGAGUUCUCUGCCCGCUCCUCGCCAGGGAUUAACCAUGGCAUGGCUGGCAGGGAGACUGGGUUCUCAGUUUCCUCAUCUGUAAAAGGAGUGAUGUGAUUAGAUUAGAGCGGCCCAAACCUAACCACACCUUAGGAUUACCUGGGGAGCUUCAGAUUACUAGGUACUCCCUUCACCCCUUGCAUCUGCUGGGGGCUGUGAGAUGGCCCAGGAAUCUGUUUUUCACAGGCUCUUCUAAAUGAUUUUUUUUGGGCCACACCCACAGCCUGUGGAAGUUCUGGGGCCAGGGAUCGAACCUGCGACCCUAGCCACUGCAAUGACAAUGCCGGAUUCUUAACCUGCUGAGCCACAGGGAAACUCCUACAGGAUUUUGACAUAAUGUCAAGUAUGGGGGAUCCUACAGACUAUAAAUAUAAAUAGACUGUAAAUAUAAAUCACUUGCAGCUCUUAGGAGAAAAGAUUCUAGUAAAUGGAAUGGCUGUAACAAGAGGCUUUGGUGCUGUGGGAUUUUAUCAGAGGGCAAAUGGUGGGUAGUUUAUUUCAUCAUCAUCAUCACCACCAAUUACUAUUUUUUCCAGGCCUUUUUUGGCUGCACCUGCAGCAUGCAGAAGCAUGCGGGGCCAGGGAUCAAACCAGCACCCCCGUGGUGACAACACCAGAUCCUUAACCCGCUGCACCACCAGGGAACCCCUCCAGUUUUAUUGAGAUAUAAUUGACCUACAUCACUGUGUAAGGUGUACAGCACAAUUUGAUUUACAUACAUCAGGAAAGGGUUAUCAGACUAAGUUUAGUAAAUAUGUAUCAACUCAUAUAGAUACAAAAUUAAAGAAAUGGAAACACCCUUUUCUUCCUGUGAGCAGAGGACUCGGGAUUGAGGCCCUCGCUUACCUCAAGGCUGGAGCCGGGCUGGGAGAGAAGUGAAGGGAGGAAUGGGCCGUCCCUGUAGGUGGGGCCUCUUGGCACGGGGACCUUUCUCUCUCACUCUCCUGGGUGGAGUUUGGCUGCACGGGCUUUGGCACCAGCCUCUGGAGCUGAGAGAGUGUCUUCCCAUCCGUAUUCCUCCCCCACUUCGGUUUCAGCCCAGAGGACAGCCCCCUUCUCCUCCUCCUGCCCCGACUUCCUCCCCAGGCUCCCUCACCAACCUCAUUCCUAAGCCUCGCUAAUCUGUUUGCCACCCUCUGCUUCCUUGCCUCGCCCUUGCUCAUGCCAUUCUCUCCACCUGGAAUGUCACCCCCGCCCCCCAACACCAAUUCACAUUUCUGGGCUCCUUUGAAACCCAGCUCCAGACUGGCUGACGUCGUUGGGGCUGUGAUCUGCCCAGGUCUCUCCUCUUCGGAGAUAGACUCAUUUAUGCUUGAAAUCACAGAAUCAGAGAACAGCUUUAGACUCAGAAAGAAAUAAGUACAGAUGACCUAAACCAGCUCUCGCAUUCAAUGGACGGAAACCCUGAGGCCCAGAGAGGUCUUGACUUGGCCAAGGUCACACAGUCGUGAGGUUUGCUGGUGGUGGUGGUGGCGGCGAACAGUUGGCUUCACAAGAGGCUUUCAAGUAUCCUACGUCUUUGUUUUAUUUCCUCGACACGUGGUGAUGCCUAUGAGGGCAGAGGUGAUGUUGCUGUUUUAAUUGGUGUUCUUAAGCUCCACGGUGCUGUGUAUGUGCAGGCAACUGUAAUAGUUCUAAAACUCGCAGGGGUGCACAUUUUGCAUAUGAUCUCAGACCAGCCCUGAGCGGUAGGUCACCAAGGCAUUGCUAUCUUACUGAGCAGGAAACUGAGACUUAGAAAGGUGUGACCCAGGAAGUUAAUGGCAGAACCGGGGCCAAAACGCAAGUUCCCUGCCUCCCAGCCUCAGCCCAGGACCCUGACACCCAUGAUGCUGUUCUUCUAGAGCCUUCCUGAGGUUCCCGGCAGGGGACCUAGAGUAGUCAAAGGGGUGGCCUCCGCCGUCUUUCGCCUUCCUUGUGAUUUCUUCACUUUGGGGUUGAGCAGACCUUGCCUCUGGCCUCCUACCCCUCCCCAUCCUGUCCCACCGCGUUCUCCUUGUGUCCCCCCACAGCCUGUUGGCACAUUGACCCAUACGCAUACAUGCUCAGAGCUGCAGGUGUCUAGGGCAACAGACCACAGGGGAAACCACAUCACCUUUGUUGACACUGGAGGGAGGCAGGGGGGCCGGGAAAGAACCUGCUUACGUCUCUCCACCUGCCUCUGUCCCCGCAGUCAUCUCACCUCCCAGCCUGGUGGGUCAUCUGGACUUGACCCAUGGCCCAGCCUCUUCCUGAGGACCCAUCCAAACCUGGCCCGGGAGGAUGUAUCGCCCCUUCUCACAGAUCCUGAAAUCCUGGAGGGAGGUGGGGCGGUCUGCCUAGCUGCACCCCAAAGCCACACCCCCAAUCCUAGCCAGUUUACUGACCUAGCUCCUCUAAUUCCACCUGCGCAGUGCAGCAGACAAAGGUGGAAACCAGGAAUGAGAGGACAUGGCUGGGGGUCGGUAAGGAAGGAAAUUUGACAUCUAGGCCAUCACUCCUACAUCAAAGGGGACCGCUAGGGAGUUCCUGUCGUGGCUCAGCGGUUAAUGAACCCAACUGGCAUCCAUGAGGACGCAGGUUCGGUCCCUGGCCUCGCUCUGUGGGUUAAGGAUCAGGUGUUGCCGUGAGCUGUGGUUUAGGCCGGUGGCUACAGCUCCAAUUAGACCCCUAGUCUGGGAACCUCCACACGCCGCAGGUGCGGCCCUAAAAAGACAAAAAGACACCAAAAAAAGGUGGAGGGGGGACCUCUAGUAACCAGGCUACACGGGAUCUGUGGUGUUUGGACCUGCUGAAAGAAGCUGCACAGGCUCUGAAUCAGGCCCAUUUGGGAUUAAGUCACUUGCUGGCUCUGUGGCCUUGGGCAAAUCAUUUUGUGUUUCUGAACUUUAGUUUGCUAACUAAAACAAUGGGGAUAAUAAUGAGAUAUAAGUGAAAGGUCCUGGAACAGCACAGGAUACCAAGGAGACGCUCAAUAAAUCCUAAUUACCCUCCCUCCCUCCUUUCCUUCCACUUGUUGCAUCUGGCUCCAUGAAACCCUUUAUUUGGAAUUGGAGCUCUACCUCCCCUAUUUACGUGCAAGUCCAAACCCUGAGCAUUGGCAUCUGAUCCCAGGUUCAGAAACAGGAAUGCACAUCCCCACAGCCCAAGGAAGUGGCUGUCCCUCGGAGAGUGCACCCAGGCCAAGGACGAACACCUUCUGAUCGGCCUUGUGGAGAGGGUGUGAGAAGUCCAGGUUAGGAAAGGGCUUGUGGCUUCAGACACCACAUUGAGAAAGCGGGUCAGGAAUGGUCUCAGAGGCCUGCGGUUUAGACCGAUGCCUUCGGAUGGAGCUUUGAACCCUGGCACAAGGUGGGCACCCAAUAACACUUGUUGAAUGAACGCAUGGCCUCAGCACUUACUAGUUGUGUAACGUUGGUCAUGUUUCUCAACUUUUAUGAGUCGCACUUUAAUCACAAACAUAACAAGGAUUACUGCUAAGAAUAAAUGAUCUCAUGUUUGCCAGGGGGCUGGCAUAGGGCUGCUGCAUGGCACACAGUCAGUAAAUGGUAGCUAAGUAAGGGAAUGUGAGAUAAACGAGAAAGAGAAGGUCAAAGAGGCUCAGAACCCCAAAGCAAGCGGAAGGUGGCUGCCUUCAGGCUUCGUACUGGCCAGAGACUCCAGGAAAACUCUGGGGAGCCAAAGCAGGUCCUGUGGGGCUAAUCUCUUCUGCUAGGUGCUUAGCUGAGCAGUCUGUGAGAGGCCUGGACUCAAGAGC
Molecule: long non-coding RNA, 5649 nt
Filed under: Sus scrofa (pig)
Lineage: Eukaryota; Metazoa; Chordata; Mammalia; Artiodactyla; Suidae
Description: lncRNA (ENSSSCG00035053764.1)
Source: RNAcentral